AGUCCUACGGGCGGCUGCAGUGGGGAAUAUUGGACAAUGGGCGCAAGCCUGAUCCAGCCAUGCCGCGUGAGUGAUGAAGGUCUUAGGAUUGUAAAGCUCUUUCACCGGAGAAGAUAAUGACGGUAGUCGGAGAAGAAGCCCCGGCUAACUUCGUGCCAGCAGCCGCGGUAAUACGAAGGGGGCUAGCGUUGUUCGGAAUUACUGGGCGUAAAGCGCACGUAGGCGGAUAUUUAAGUCAGGGGUGAAAUCCCAGAGCUCAACUCUGGAACUGCCUUUGAUACUGGGUAUCUCGAGUAUGGAAGAGGUGAGUGGAAUUCCGAGUGUAGAGGUGAAAUUCGUAGAUAUUCGGAGGAACACCAGUGGCGAAGGCGGCUCACUGGUCCAUUACUGACGCUGAGGUGCGAAAGCGUGGGGAGCAAACAGGAUUAGAUACCCUUGUAGUC
Molecule: ribosomal RNA, 443 nt
Filed under: uncultured Agrobacterium sp.
Lineage: Bacteria; Pseudomonadati; Pseudomonadota; Alphaproteobacteria; Hyphomicrobiales; Rhizobiaceae
Description: bacterial SSU rRNA
Rfam family: Bacterial small subunit ribosomal RNA
Source: RNAcentral